Molecule: ribosomal RNA, 549 nt
Filed under: Triticum aestivum (bread wheat)
Lineage: Eukaryota; Viridiplantae; Streptophyta; Magnoliopsida; Poales; Poaceae
Description: partial small subunit ribosomal RNA
Source: RNAcentral
AUGUCCUAUCGUAUCUGCCAUCCUACCUACGCUAGACGUGUAGCAUGUACUCGCCUACCCCCCGUCCACUACCCCGUGACCAGCCCCCACCCCCGACCAUCCCCAUCCGCGAUUCAAAAUUCGAAUCGAAGCAGGCAGACGCAGCUGCAUCGAGCGGACGAACCACGGCCUCCCCAUCCACGCGCCUGGAUCCCUAGGUUUCUUCACGAUUCAACGAUGAAUCUCGGUGCAGAGUCAUUCACGGAUCUCCUCUUCAGAUUUUGUUCCCAGCCGGCCGCAACAGAGGGCGUCCCAGAUCUGGGAUUGCUAGAGGAGGAGGAGGAGGAGGAGGAGGAGGAGGAGGAGGAGGAGGAGCGCAUCCAUCCUAAUUUCCAGAAUCAUUCUCCUUCUUCAAGCCAAGAUGGAGAGAAAUCUGGUGCCACAGAUUCAGGAACUCCUGAAGAUCAGGAGGCUAUGCCAGAUUUCUCUAACGUCCCAGAUAUUGACGAUGCAGAAGAGACCCAGCCUGAAUCGCAUCCGAUUUCAGUUCCGUGGACUCAAAGGUACUAG